RNAcentral lists this ribosomal RNA (273 nucleotides) under uncultured bacterium. Its description in RNAcentral is "partial 16S ribosomal RNA". It matches the Rfam family "Bacterial small subunit ribosomal RNA", at positions 505 to 776 of the family's 1533-position model. The record is from RNAcentral.
GUGCCAGCAGCCCGCGGUAACACGUAGGACACGAGCGUUAUCCGGAUUUACUGGGCGUAAAGCGCCUGUAGGUGGACGAACAAGUCGGCUGUGAAAGCCCUGGGCUUAACCCGGGGAGGCCAGGCGAUACUGUUCGACUUGAGGGUGACAGAGGGGAGUGGAAUUCCCGGUGUAGCGGUAAAAUGCGCAGAUAUCGGGAGGAACACCAGUGGCGAAGGCGGCUCCCUGGGUCAUACCUGACACUGAGAGGCUAAAGCUAGGGGAGCGAACAGG